CAUUGCGCUCACAGGAGCAAGCGGGCGUACCCAAGCACACCGUCGGAGGCGCACUUUCUCCUUGCCCCUCCCAUCGUAUGCGCGUGCGUCUUGUGGCAUCCCUCUCCUCGUCUCACAUCUCUUAGGAAUACCUCUACAUUGCUGUAGCUUCCCUCCCGCUCGCUCGCUCGGUGCGUGUGCGUGUGUUGUGUGGAAUGGGCAGGCAACAGGGCACACGUGCCGACUCGCACCAUCCAUCAUCUUCAUCAUCCUCAUCGCCACUGCCAGCUCAUUGCGUUUUUGUGUGUCGUUGGCGGUGUGCGAUAUCCCUCCGCCACCUACACGGGUCAUUGCCUUCUGCGCCCAUCCCCCCUCUUGCUCUCUGCAAGCAACCAUGUCGAUGCAGCUCUUCAGCUUCGGGCACCCGUGCGAGCACCAGUUGCACAGGGCGUGCAUUGGCGGAUUGAACUGCCCACUGAACGGCUACCCAGACACGUGGUGCUGCAGUUUUAUCAAGGGCAAGAUCAACUUCAAGCGCGACCGCCCAUGCGAAGGGCCGAGGUGCCACUGGGACUACGUGCACCCCUCACAGAGCCAGUUCGAUGAGGUGACACAAGUGCUCGAGCAGAGCCGUCCCAUCGCCGCCAAGCUGGACGAGGCGAGCGACACCGAUCUACUUUCCUUCAACAUCAGCAACCCGCAUAUUAUCGACACCGUGCAGUGCGCGCUACACAUGAUGCGGCAUCCGCCCAGCGUGUGCGCUCGCCGAGUCGGUCAGCUGCUCGCCUACGCCGCCCUCUUGGCCGGUGAUCAGGACGUCUUUGUCCAGCUGCUGAAGACUAUGAAGAAACCUGUCGAUGGCUACAUCCUCGGCGCGUAUGCGUUCCUGAGACAGGGCAAGACUGGCCAUGUCGGCAGUGCGGGCAAGGGCGGAAGCGGCAACGGCAGCGGUGUAAAGAAGCAGAACAAGAAGAAGGACGGCAAGGAGGACAUCACGGCAACGCUCGCGAACAUUAUGGUCGAGCUCAUGAACGCAGCGCUCAGCCUCGGCGGCCAGCUCGUCGAUCGCGAGGAUCAACACGUGCUGCAGGCAAUGCUCAUCCAGGCACUCUCCACAUACCCGAAGAGCGACAAGCGGCACCAAGAAAUGCUGGAAAAAGCCGUCGCUAAGUUUGGCCACCGUAGGCUCGAGGACGAGGAAGAGGCGGCGGCUGUCAAGCGCGAGGCGGCGAAGAAGGAGACAGCGACGACGGCGAGCAUGGCAACGAGUGUCGCCGCCCCCACAGUCGCCGCAACACCACUGACAACCAGGCAGGAACCAACGGAGACCCCAGCCCCGACUGCCGUCACCGCCACUGCUAGCGCUGGCAGCGCUGCCUCUGCCAUCGCCGCUAUCAACGAGAGCGUAGAUCCUGCCACUGGUGAGGAGACGACCACUGUGACGGCAUCACACGUCCCCGCAGCAGCUACAGCGACCGCCGAAGCAGCAGCGGCGCCGGCAGCUCAAGCCGCCGCCGGUGUUGCUCGCAUUCCCUCACGGAGCAGUUUCGCCGCCGCCGCACCAGGAGCUGCUGCGGCGGACGGCUCAAUGAGGGCUGCCGUCCCCACAGUGCUGCCCGCAUUAGCGGGAGAUGCCGUGGCGAUGCUGACUGGCACCAGCUCCGCUGCUGCCGCCCAACUCAUCGGCAUUGCGACACCAAAGCCGACUGUCUCUUCCAUCCCCGGCACACCCAGCCGAGCAGCCCCUUCGACACCUGGCGCUACUCCAGGGCCUAUCACGUUCAGCACGGCCAUUCAAGUCCAACAGCAUAAUGUGAUGCCGGUGCCGAUCAAUGCGCUAGCGGGACAAGUUUCCGCGAUGGGUGCUCCGGGCCUGCAGGCUACGACAGCUUCUGCGACUCCAGCAGCUUCUACACCCGCGCCGGCACGCACGGCGAUAGUUGGCAUCAGCAAGCUUCACCCGUACUUGGCCGGGCGUGCCGCGAAUAUGAGAGACGAGGUGCCCGGGCUGUCCCCGAUUUACGACCCCAAGAGCCACUCCUCGGGACUGUUCAUCUGCGGCGGGCAGUUCACCGUGGAGCCGCUUGUGUGGAACUACGCUCCGCUGGGCGAUGCUGCUGCGAAUCGACGCUUGGACAGUCCUACGCGUGAGUACAUGAGGAUCAAGGAGGAGAACCGCCAGCGGCACAGAGAAGCGAGGGAGGCGCAGGCGGCGCGCCUCGCUGCGAUCGCAGCCGGCAACCUCGCGUCUACCUCGGAGCGCUUCCCAAACACCUUCUCAAUCAACUUGGCUGAUAGCGAGGACUUCUGUGGAUGGAACGACCCGGAGUGGCAAGGCUCUUCCUCCGACUUUUCCUUCGACUAGAGGGCGACCAAAGCGAAAAAAGGCGGCGGUGGUUGCGUGCAUGCGUGCGUGUGCGUGUGUGUGUCCCUCUCUCUACUCGCGUCUACGAAUUAAGUUCGUCGUGCUGUGCCUUCAAGCCUAAGAGCGCACGCACCCGCAUCACACGCAGAGUCGCGCAGGUGUGUGUGUGUGUGUAUGUGAUGUGUGGUACUCUGUUGUGCAUGUCGCUGUGGACGGGUGCCCGGUGCUGCGCGCUGCAGGCGACGGAGUGGUGGACGAUAAACGAGGAAACAAAGUAUCGCAUCAGUGCGUAAAGGGGCGGAGAGGGGGGUCGAGGGACGGCGCGCAGGCGACUUUGUCUUCGGCUCCUGUCUUUCUCUGUCUCGCCCACGGGUGAGUCGCAGACACGCGCGCCCGUUUUUUCUUCCUUCGCACCCGUCCCCAC
RNAcentral lists this unclassified non-coding RNA (2768 nucleotides) under Leishmania donovani. RNAcentral describes it as "gene:LdHU3.07.0460(CDS-product:hypothetical_prote in_conserved)". Lineage: Eukaryota; Euglenozoa; Kinetoplastea; Trypanosomatida; Trypanosomatidae. The record is from RNAcentral.